AGAGUUUGAUCCUGGCUCAGAGCGAACGCUGGCGGCGUGCUUAACACAUGCAAGUCGAACGCGCAGCAUUCUGUAGCAAUACAGGGUGUGGGCGCGUGGCGAACGGGUGCGUAACACGUGGAUAACCUUCCUUCAGGUGGGGAAUAACCCAGUGAAAAUUGGGCUAAUACCGCAUAACAUGACGAUGGCACAUGCUGUUGUCUUCAAAGGCGCAAGUCGCCAGAAGAGGGAUCCGCGGCCGAUUAGCUUGUUGGCGAGGUAAUGGCUCACCAAGGCAUUGAUCGGUAGCCGGACUGAGAGGUUGACCGGCCACACUGGAACUGAGACACGGUCCAGACUCCUACGGGAGGCAGCAGUGGGGAAUCUUGCACAAUGGACGAAAGUCUGAUGCAGCAACGCCGCGUGGGGGAUGAAGCUUCUCGGAGUGUAAACCCCUUUCGACCCG
This 445-nucleotide ribosomal RNA is filed under the name uncultured bacterium. RNAcentral describes it as "bacterial SSU rRNA". It matches the Rfam family "Bacterial small subunit ribosomal RNA", at positions 8 to 443 of the family's 1533-position model. The record is from RNAcentral.